AUUUAAAUAGCUUAUAGUUAGAGCAUAGUACUGAAGAUACUAAGGAAAUAAUUUUAUUUUUAAAUA
RNAcentral lists this transfer RNA (66 nucleotides) under Ptomascopus plagiatus. RNAcentral describes it as "tRNA-Phe". It matches the Rfam family "tRNA". Rfam says of the family: Transfer RNA (tRNA) molecules are approximately 80 nucleotides in length. Their secondary structure includes four short double-helical elements and three loops (D, anti-codon, and T loops). Further hydrogen bonds mediate the characteristic L-shaped molecular structure. tRNAs have two regions of fundamental functional importance: the anti-codon, which is responsible for specific mRNA codon recognition, and the 3' end, to which the tRNAs corresponding amino acid is attached (by aminoacyl-tRNA synthetases). tRNAs cope with the degeneracy of the genetic code in two manners: having more than one tRNA (with a specific anti-codon) for a particular amino acid; and 'wobble' base-pairing, i.e. permitting non-standard base-pairing at the 3rd anti-codon position. The record is from RNAcentral. Lineage: Eukaryota; Metazoa; Arthropoda; Insecta; Coleoptera; Silphidae.